Molecule: ribosomal RNA, 117 nt
Filed under: Paramormyrops kingsleyae
Lineage: Eukaryota; Metazoa; Chordata; Actinopteri; Osteoglossiformes; Mormyridae
Source: RNAcentral
UCCACCAGCCAUACUACCUGCAGUCCAGACUAGGUAAUCCAUCUGAAACUAAGCAGGUUUGGGCCUGGCCAGUACUUGAGUGGGAAACCAACUAGGAAUGCUGGGUUGUUGCUAGAA